This 934-nucleotide ribosomal RNA is filed under the name Lactiplantibacillus plantarum. RNAcentral describes it as "bacterial SSU rRNA". It matches the Rfam family "Bacterial small subunit ribosomal RNA", at positions 502 to 1436 of the family's 1533-position model. Lineage: Bacteria; Bacillati; Bacillota; Bacilli; Lactobacillales; Lactobacillaceae. The record is from RNAcentral.
UACGUGCCAGCAGCCGCGGUAAUACGUAGGUGGCAAGCGUUGUCCGGAUUUAUUGGGCGUAAAGCGAGCGCAGGCGGUUUUUUAAGUCUGAUGUGAAAGCCUUCGGCUCAACCGAAGAAGUGCAUCGGAAACUGGGAAACUUGAGUGCAGAAGAGGACAGUGGAACUCCAUGUGUAGCGGUGAAAUGCGUAGAUAUAUGGAAGAACACCAGUGGCGAAGGCGGCUGUCUGGUCUGUAACUGACGCUGAGGCUCGAAAGUAUGGGUAGCAAACAGGAUUAGAUACCCUGGUAGUCCAUACCGUAAACGAUGAAUGCUAAGUGUUGGAGGGUUUCCGCCCUUCAGUGCUGCAGCUAACGCAUUAAGCAUUCCGCCUGGGGAGUACGGCCGCAAGGCUGAAACUCAAAGGAAUUGACGGGGGCCCGCACAAGCGGUGGAGCAUGUGGUUUAAUUCGAAGCUACGCGAAGAACCUUACCAGGUCUUGACAUACUAUGCAAAUCUAAGAGAUUAGACGUUCCCUUCGGGGACAUGGAUACAGGUGGUGCAUGGUUGUCGUCAGCUCGUGUCGUGAGAUGUUGGGUUAAGUCCCGCAACGAGCGCAACCCUUAUUAUCAGUUGCCAGCAUUAAGUUGGGCACUCUGGUGAGACUGCCGGUGACAAACCGGAGGAAGGUGGGGAUGACGUCAAAUCAUCAUGCCCCUUAUGACCUGGGCUACACACGUGCUACAAUGGAUGGUACAACGAGUUGCGAACUCGCGAGAGUAAGCUAAUCUCUUAAAGCCAUUCUCAGUUCGGAUUGUAGGCUGCAACUCGCCUACAUGAAGUCGGAAUCGCUAGUAAUCGCGGAUCAGCAUGCCGCGGUGAAUACGUUCCCGGGCCUUGUACACACCGCCCGUCACACCAUGAGAGUUUGUAACACCCAAAGUCGGUGGGGU